RNAcentral lists this ribosomal RNA (230 nucleotides) under uncultured bacterium. Its description in RNAcentral is "partial 16S ribosomal RNA". It matches the Rfam family "Bacterial small subunit ribosomal RNA", at positions 104 to 334 of the family's 1533-position model. The record is from RNAcentral.
CGGGGUGAGUAAUGUCUGGGAAACUGCCUGAUGGAGGGGGAUAACUGCUGGAAACGGUAGCUAAUACCGCAUAACGUCGCAAGACCAAAGAGGGGGACCUUCGGGGCCUCUUGCCAUCGGAUGUGCCCAGAUGGGAUUAGCUAGUAGGUGGGGUAACGGCUCACCUAGGCGACGAUCCCUAGCUGGUCUGAGAGGAUGACCAGCCACACUGGAACUGAGACACGGUCCAG